Anolis carolinensis (green anole) is the source of this 4350-nucleotide long non-coding RNA. The record is from Ensembl. NCBI's taxonomy places the organism in Eukaryota, Metazoa, Chordata, Lepidosauria, Squamata, Anolidae.
AUGAGAAGCAGCCAGAGUCAGCCAGGGCUUCGGAGCUGCUUUUCAACGGAGGCUAUGCCGCUCUCCUCCACACACGGGUUUACCUCUCCUUCCAAUGAGAAGCAGCCAGAGUCAGCCAGGGCUUCGGGGCUGCUUUUCAACAGAGGCUACGGCUCUCUCCUCCAGGCUGCUUUCAGUCCUCAUUCAAAAUUGGAAGGAGAGGUAAACUCACGCCUUUUCUUUGAGCUGACAGGAAAGGAAAGGCUCAAUGUUUUGAUUCUUGAGAUCUUGCGAAAGAAGAGAGAGCGGGUGUUUUGCUUGCUCCUCCCUCCUGCAGUCAUUCUUCAGCUGGCUGACUUUCAUUACGCGGUGGGAAAAUGCAGAGGGUUAUACCAGAGGACUUCCGGUGCGUGGAACAUGGCGGGGAUACAGGACUCUUGAAGCUCUUGCCAAGAGCCUGCCUAUACGAAGCGGUUGGGUAGAGCUUAUCACUCCCUCUCCUCCGUGGAUCGAUAUGGGGAGACUGCGGAUCCCACGGCACCACCCGAUGGUCUAUAGAGUGGGUCCCCCCUCAAGGGAAAUCCUGCAUAUUGCAUUUGCUUUGUUGUAUCAAGUUCAUCUUGUUUAUUUCCCAUGUUUCAUCUCAGUGUAGAGACACCAAAACCCAUGGACAAAUCCUGCUAGCUGCUUAUUUAAGUUUUCCCUUUUCUUUAUUGAGCUCUUGUACUUCUUGCCUAGUUCUUUCUUUGACAGUUGGGUAUUUUCUCCUGAUAAAGUCCUGUCUAUUCUGUAAUCCUUACUAUUGCUCUGAAACAGGCCAGUAGUCUCAUCAUGCUGAAUAAGAUUACCAAGUGACACCUGAACUAGCGAUUUUUCAGCUUUUCAGUUAUAUGCCUAGCUGUUUCAUUGCAAAAGCAGAAAUGAUUGUUUGUAAUAACCUCUAAUCAUAGUGAAACUUUUGAAUGAGAAUAAUCCUGUGACAGAUUGAUUCUAGAGAGAUCCUUUGUCAAAAAUCCUUAAACAAUAUUAGUUGUACAGAUUAGCACUCUGGCACAAUAUUUUAUACUCUCAAUUAGCCAUGCAGAGAACAUCCAAUAUUCAUGUGGAUUCUUGGUAUCCAUUGGGGUUUGGCUUAAGGAUUGCCUCUGUGGAUAUUAAAAUCCACGGAUGUUCAAGUCCCAUUAUAUACAAUAGCAUAGAAAAAUGGCAUCCCUUAUAUAAAAUGGCAAUUUUUUUUUCGUGUCAGGAGCGACUUGAGAAACUGCAAGUCGCUUCUGGUGUGACAGAAUUGGUCGUCUGCAAGGACAUUGCCCAGGGGACGCCCAGAUGUUUUGAUUUUUUUUAAAAUCAUCCUUGUGGGAGGCUUCUCUCAUGUCCCCGCAUGGUGCUGGAGCUCAUCCGUGCUCUCCCCGGGUGGGAUUCGAACCUGGCAGCUUUCAGAUCAGCAACCCAACCUUCAAGUCACAAGGCUUUAAUCCACUAUGCCACCAGGGGCUCCUAUAAAUGACAAAUAACACUGGCUCAUUGAAAGCUAGCUUCGAACUGUAUUAAAUGGUUAGUGUAGAUGGCACCAAGUUCUACUUGCCUGCUACUGUAGGCAUUUUUUCAUUUGAGGAUUCAUUUUCUGUUGCUGAAAUUCCAUGUUCUUGCAUGGCAUGGUUCAGAGUUCGUAUUUCGAGAUCUGAAAAUAAUCCAAAUAAAUCUUUUAAAUUGUUGAGGUGUAGAAUAGUGUGCUAUAAUGACGACAAGGCAGAUUACAAAGUGUGACCCUCAUUUUCAGGUGAGUGUAACGUAAUCUAACAUGGGCUGACUCCCAAUUUCCAUAUCUAUCUUUUGACUGACUAGAAGCAUCUCUGUCUUAAGCGUUAAUUUGUUUGCUCUCAUUCUAUACGUUUGUUGUAGCCUGGUCAGAUUCAGAGUGCUCAGAAGAUGAGGAAGGGGAUGCUGGGAGAGAUUCAGAGUGCUCCAGGAGAAAUGUUUUGGAAUUUCCUGGCACUUCCCAAGAGAACGGUGAAGGCGAGAUCCAUUCCCAUAGGAACCUGUCAGAAGUGCAGACUGAGGGAAAUGUUUGUUGAGGUCAGAGAGAUUGCAGUUGAGACAACAGAGCCUGCAAUUAAGAACCCGCUCCUCCAAGUGACUUAGAAAUAAGGAGUGGGAAACCAGGUGCAGAGGAAACGAUCUCAUGGCAGGGAUUUUGGCUUUUUAAAAAUAGUUCAUGCCGGCAUGCUCUCUGUGAGAGUAACGUUGCAAUCAGGGCAAGAGCUCUCGGUGUCAUGGGCCUUGUAAUUGAUGUAAUCAAGUUUUCAAAUUGUUCCUGCAUCCUAGUCUUGUGAGGCAUAGUUUUGCCUGGCUUGGAUUUAUGUACCUUGUCUUUGAAUAUCUCGAUGGAAUUGUUUUAAAGAUUUUCUCUGAAUGGAAUUUGGACUUUGGCUUUUACAGACAUAACCUUUUGAGCUUUGAGUCCUUUUUAUAUUUGCUUGCUUUACACAUAACCAGCUGUUAUUAUACUCUGCUUUUAAUAAACCUUUACAUUGGAUCAUCAGAACAGUGUGUGGUUUGUAGUGAAAAGCGGCUUUAGGGCCAUGGUGCAACAAUGUUACAACUGUAAGUACAUAAUACCAACAAGGAGUCCCAUGGCCACUUUGAGUGCCUCAGGUGUUGCUCUGAGAAGGUCCCCCAUGGUGCAUGUGGCAGGGCUCAGACUACAUUGUACUACGUAAGUGGUCUGUGGUUUGCACUUCUCCACACACGCAUGUCAUGGACUCCACUUUAUACCCCCAUUUCUUAACAUUGGUUCCGCAUCUUGUUGGUACCAGAGCACAGUCUGUUCACUGCCUUCCAAGUCGCCUAGUCUUCUGUAUGUCCAGGAGGGAGUUUCUCAUUUGGUCCCAGCCACUGAUUGAGAUUCAGGGUUUUCGCCUGCCUCUUUUGGACUCUCACUUGCUAAGGUGUUCCUGCAGGUAUCUCUGUAGAUCUUAGGAAGCUUAGGACUUGCAGUAUGCAGCCCAUUAUGAUGAAUGGAAUUGUUUCACUUUUGUACUUAAAAUAGUUUGGAGUGAAAGUUUUUUAUUCUCACAACUGUUUUGCAGAGAUUACAUUUUUGAUCAAGAUCAAAUGCAAUGCAAUGGUAUUUUUGCUUCUCCUCCCUCCCCCAAAAUCUGCUGUCUGUCUGUCUAUCUAUCUAUGAGCACAUUCACUUUUGAAAAGUGUCUACAAUAAUUGUUCCCCAUUAUACUAUUCUCUCUUCCCAUCCAUCCCUUUGCACGACCCCCCUCCCUUUGCAUGAAGACAUUCAUAUACAUUUCUGUCCCUCCUUUCCAGGGAAACAUUCUCCUAUUUUUAGAUGAUGACAACAGUCAUCAUCUAAAAAUUCCAAGGAAAGAUUCUAACCUACAAAGAUCAAAUUAUGAAGCCUAUUCUAAGAACGUUUCCCUCUUUUCUUGUUCCACAAAAUUCAGAUAUAGUUCCCACACUUUUUCCUCCCUAUCCAUCACAACCAAUUAUCCAUUUUCCUCAUUCCAACUUUCACUAUCCAUUUUCUUUUUAUUUUAUUUUUCUCCUUCACCAUAAGUCUUUGUCCCUUUGCCUUCUUCCCCUCUUUUCUCUGGUCUUGCAUUUUAUUCUUUUCUUCCACUUGGUAGUUUAUUUAGUUCAAAUCUGUUUCUUUUGUACAAUUCUUUGGCCUUUGUCACUAAAGACGUCAUCAGAUGCAGUGAGAGAAGUGUCUUCUCCUCGCUUCUCUCCACUAUCGGCCUGGAGUCUCCCAGAGUCCAUCACAUGAUGUAGGACAACUUCCAGCAAAACUCCAUAGGGUUCUGUGCCAAAACAAGGCAAGGGGAGCCGAAGAGGAAAUGGGGAUAGAUGGGGAAAUGUUGUGGGAAGGCAGAGGUGAGAACAGAGUGUGACCAUUCCUUCUGUUACCCCACAGUUUUUCCUGCUGUACCCCACUUUGACUCUAGCUGUCUGAUAAGGUCCUGGGUCUAGUUCAGAUCUUCUAACACUUACAUAUGGGGCUGAAACUUGGGGAAAAUUUGGAUCUCUUCCAGAAAUUUCUAUUUUGAAUCUCCCAUUUUGAUUGGUUUUUCAUCUCAUUCUUCUUUCCUCUCUUUUUCCUUUUCCAGUGUAUUCACUUUUGAUCUUGCUGUCAUAGUUGUUUAAUGUAAUCUGUAUCUCAACUUUCAAACCAGGCAACCUUCCAUGGAAUCCUGUUUGUGUGGUAUGGAUUUUCAGACCACAAUAACUUAUUUUGAUAUAUAAAGUCUAUGUCCAGCAAUUGUUUAGUUAUUCCUUCUUUCAAAUAGUUCAAUUGGUUGGUUAUAGUCCUUUUUAUCUUAGUGAUUUUCACUUCCUUGUGCCCCUGUAUUUAUCCUC